GACGAACGCUGGCGGCGUGCUUAACACAUGCAAGUCGAACGGAAAGGCCCUGCUUUUGUGGGGUGCUCGAGUGGCGAACGGGUGAGUAACACGUGAGUAACCUGCCCUUGACUUUGGGAUAACUUCAGGAAACUGGGGCUAAUGCCGGAUAGGAGCUCCUGCUGCCUGGUGGGGGUUGGAAAGUUUCGGCGGUUGGGGAUGGACUCGCGGCUUAUCAGCUUGUUGGUGGGGUAGUGGCUUACCAAGGCUUUGACGGGUAGCCGGCCUGAGAGGGUGACCGGCCACAUUGGGACUGAGAUACGGCCCAGACUCCUACGGGAGGCAGCAGUGGGGAAUAUUGCACAAUGGGCGGAAGCCUGAUGCAGCAACGCCGCGUGCGGGAUGACGGCCUUCGGGUUGUAAACCGCUGUCGCCUGUGACGAAGCGUGAGUGACGGUAAUGGGUAAAGAAGCACCGGCUAACUACGUG
RNAcentral lists this ribosomal RNA (468 nucleotides) under uncultured bacterium. RNAcentral's name for it is "partial 16S ribosomal RNA". It matches the Rfam family "Bacterial small subunit ribosomal RNA", at positions 28 to 507 of the family's 1533-position model. The record is from RNAcentral.